Molecule: transfer RNA, 69 nt
Filed under: Euphractus sexcinctus
Lineage: Eukaryota; Metazoa; Chordata; Mammalia; Cingulata; Chlamyphoridae
Also listed under: 1 other name
Description: tRNA-Ile
Rfam family: tRNA
About the family: Transfer RNA (tRNA) molecules are approximately 80 nucleotides in length. Their secondary structure includes four short double-helical elements and three loops (D, anti-codon, and T loops).
Source: RNAcentral
AGGAAUAUGUCUGACAAAAGAGUUACUUUGAUAGAGUAAAAUAUAGAGGUUAUAAUCCUCUUAUUCCUA